RNAcentral lists this ribosomal RNA (492 nucleotides) under uncultured bacterium. RNAcentral describes it as "partial 16S ribosomal RNA". It matches the Rfam family "Bacterial small subunit ribosomal RNA", at positions 29 to 507 of the family's 1533-position model. The record is from RNAcentral.
AGUGAACGCUGGCGGUAGGCCUAACACAUGCAAGUCGAACGGCAGCACAGUAAUAGCUUGCUCUUACGGGUGGCGAGUGGCGGACGGGUGAGGAAUACAUCGGAAUCUACUUUUUCGUGGGGGAUAACGUAGGGAAACUUACGCUAAUACCGCAUACGACCUACGGGUGAAAGCAGGGGAUCUUCGGACCUUGCGCGAUUGAAUGAGCCGAUGUCGGAUUAGAUAGUUGGCGGGGUAAAGGCCCACCAAGGCGACGAUCCGUAGCUGGUCUGAGAGGAUGAUCAGCCACACUGGAACUGAGACACGGUCAAGACUCCUACGAGAGGCAGCAGUCGGGAACAUUGGACAAUGGGCGCAAGCAUGAUCCAGCCAUACCGCGUGGGUGAAGAAGGCCUUCGGGUCGUAAAGACCUUUUGUUGGGAAAGAAAAGCAGCAGGUUAAUACCCCGCUGUUCUGACGGUACCCAAAGAAUAAGCACCGGCUAACUUCGUG